RNAcentral lists this unclassified non-coding RNA (591 nucleotides) under Talaromyces cf. trachyspermus IHEM 27960. RNAcentral's name for it is "sequence contains 18S rRNA gene, ITS1, 5.8S rRNA gene, ITS2, 28S rRNA gene". The stretch from base 229 to 382 matches the Rfam family "5.8S ribosomal RNA". Lineage: Eukaryota; Fungi; Ascomycota; Eurotiomycetes; Eurotiales; Trichocomaceae. The record is from RNAcentral.
AGUCGUAACAAGGUUUCCGUAGGUGAACCUGCGGAAGGAUCAUUACUGAGUGCCGGUCCCUCGUGGACCGAACCUCCCACCCUUGUCUCUUGUAUACCCUGUUGCUUUGGCGGGCCCACUGGGAAUCCCCAGUCGCCGAGGGGCACUGUGCCCCUGGGCCCGUGCCCGCCAGAGCGCCCUUGAACCCUAAUGAAGAUGGACUGUCUGAGCAUGAUUGAUAAUAAUCAAAACUUUCAACAAUGGAUCUCUUGGUUCCGGCAUCGAUGAAGAACGCAGCGAAAUGCGAUAAGUAAUGUGAAUUGCAGAAUUCCGUGAAUCAUCGAAUCUUUGAACGCACAUUGCGCCCCCUGGCAUUCCGGGGGGCAUGCCUGUCCGAGCGUCAUUUCUGCCCUCAAGCACGGCUUGUGUGUUGGGUGUGGUCCCCCCUGGGGACCUGCCUGAAAGGCAGUGGCGACGCCCGCCUAGGUCCUCGAGCGUAUGGGGCUUUGUCACCCGCUCGGGAAGGAUCUACGGGUGUUGGUCUUCCAUAAUUUUUCCACGGUUGACCUCGGAUCAGGUAGGAGUUACCCGCUGAACUUAAGCAUAUCAAUA